This 253-nucleotide ribosomal RNA is filed under the name uncultured bacterium. Its description in RNAcentral is "partial 16S ribosomal RNA". It matches the Rfam family "Bacterial small subunit ribosomal RNA", at positions 524 to 776 of the family's 1533-position model. The record is from RNAcentral.
UACGUAGGGGGCAAGCGUUAUCCGGAAUUACUGGGUGUAAAGGGAGCGUAGACGGUGAUGUAAGUCUGGAGUGAAAGGCGGGGGCCCAACCCCCGGACUGCUCUGGAAACUAUGUGACUGGAGUACAGGAGAGGUGAGCGGAAUUCCUAGUGUAGCGGUGAAAUGCGUAGAUAUUAGGAGGAACACCAGUGGCGAAGGCGGCUCACUGGACUGUAACUGACGUUGAGGCUCGAAAGCGUGGGGAGCAAACAGG